UGCAAGUCGAACGCUGAAGCCGACAGCUUGCUGUUGGUGGAUGAGUGGCGAACGGGUGAGUAACACGUGAGUAACCUGCCCCUGAUUUCGGGAUAAGCCUGGGAAACUGGGUCUAAUACCGGAUAUGACCAAUCCUUGCAUGAGGGUUGGUGGAAAGUUUUUCGAUCGGGGAUGGGCUCGCGGCCUAUCAGCUUGUUGGUGGGGUAAUGGCCUACCAAGGCGACGACGGGUAGCCGGCCUGAGAGGGCGACCGGCCACACUGGGACUGAGACACGGCCCAGACUCCUACGGGAGGCAGCAGUGGGGAAUAUUGCACAAUGGGGGAAACCCUGAUGCAGCGACGCAGCGUGCGGGAUGACGGCCUUCGGGUUGUAAACCGCUUUCAGCAGGGAAGAAGCGAAAGUGACGGUACCUGCAGAAGAAGUACCGGCUAACUACGUGCCAGCAGCCGCGGUAAUACGUAGGGUACGAGCGUUGUCCGGAAUUAUUGGGCGUAAAGAGCUCGUAGGUGGUUGGUCACGUCUGCUGUGGAAACGCAACGCUUAACGUUGCGCGUGCAGUGGGUACGGGCUGACUAGAGUGCAGUAGGGGAGUCUGGAAUUCCUGGUGUAGCGGUGAAAUGCGCAGAUAUCAGGAGGAACACCGGUGGCGAAGGCGGGACUCUGGGCUGUAACUGACACUGAGGAGCGAAAGCAU
This 696-nucleotide ribosomal RNA is filed under the name Brevibacterium sp. 11738. RNAcentral's name for it is "bacterial SSU rRNA". It matches the Rfam family "Bacterial small subunit ribosomal RNA", at positions 56 to 762 of the family's 1533-position model. Lineage: Bacteria; Bacillati; Actinomycetota; Actinomycetes; Micrococcales; Brevibacteriaceae. The record is from RNAcentral.